Molecule: ribosomal RNA, 581 nt
Filed under: Rhodotorula glutinis
Lineage: Eukaryota; Fungi; Basidiomycota; Microbotryomycetes; Sporidiobolales; Sporidiobolaceae
Description: partial large subunit ribosomal RNA
Rfam family: Eukaryotic large subunit ribosomal RNA
Source: RNAcentral
UCCCCUAGUAGCGGCGAGCGAAGCGGGAAGAGCUCAAAUUUAUAAUCUGGCACCUUCGGUGUCCGAGUUGUAAUCUCUAGAAGUGUUUUCCGCGUUGGACCGCACACAAGUCUGUUGGAAUACAGCGGCAUAGUGGUGAAACCCCCGUAUAUGGUGCGGACGCCCAGCGCUUUGUGAUACACUUUCAAUGAGUCGAGUUGUUUGGGAAUGCAGCUCAAAUUGGGUGGUAAAUUCCAUCUAAAGCUAAAUAUUGGCGAGAGACCGAUAGCGAACAAGUACCGUGAGGGAAAGAUGAAAAGCACUUUGGAAAGAGAGUUAACAGUACGUGAAAUUGUUGGAAGGGAAACGCUUGAAGUCAGACUUGCUUGCCGGAGCUUGCUUCGGUUUGCAGGCCAGCAUCAGUUUUCCGGGGUGGAUAAUAACGGUUUGAAGGUAGCAGUCUCGGCUGUGUUAUAGCUUUCCGUUGGAUACAUCCUGGGGGACUGAGGAACGCAGCGUGCUUUUUGCGAAAGACUCGUCUUUUUCACGCUUAGGAUGCUGGUGGAAUGGCUUUAAACGACCCGUCUUGAAACACGGGACCA